AUUUGGCAAUUAUCAUCUUCCAAACUGUUGAAAUCAUUUUGGAAGCUGGUAUUGUCAAGUGCUGAGAAAAAGAGUGGAAAGAAAAAGAGUGGAAUUCCUUCUGGAGAACAACGACCACUCUCCUUCUGACAAAAGGCAGGCAGUGAUGAAGCAGGCCAUGAGACAGAUCUACACAUAUUGACUCUUGGAGGAGUCAAGUGUCAGCUGAAUGUCAGAGAAAUUGCCUUUAUAACAAAAUCUGUUAAGGUGUGGGAUAACCUCAUGAAGAAAGCAAGAUACUUUGUGAACUUUAGUAUGAAUCAAUCAAAGCGACGAAAACCACGGAUAAUAUUGACCUCCAUGGGGAUGAAGAAAGUGGCUAAGCAUUGGUAGUACUUUUCUUCUUAAUUAGUGUUAUCAUUUUCUUCUGCUUUUUAAAUAAUUCACGAUUAAUAUUACUUCAAAGGCUGAUUUCUAUCCCACUUCUGAAUGUUAAUAGGCAAAACCAACUUCUUUCAUUCUUUUUACUCUUUUGCUUUAAUAUUAUCAACUUAUUUUUCUGGCUCAUUAUGGAAAUAUUUACUGAUUUAGAGGCUAAAAGAGAUCAUUAAGAUGGGCUCAUCUGACCUCUUGUACAAACCAGACCAAAGAACUGAACUCCGUAAUCUGAGCAUCAAUAUUUCUUGAGAUGAAGGAUGUGUCUUUAGAAAGACACUACAUUUUGCUUCAAGACUCAGUGACAACAAACUCACUAUAUUAUCUGGUAAGUCUUUGGAAUGCCUAAUUAGCUUCACUUCAAAAUUGUGUCUUCUGUCUAGCCUGGAUGUAAUUAGUGUCAGCUAGCUGCUAUGGGAUCUAGAUGUGUCUGGUUGGUUGCUCAGGAGAGAGAGCACCUGAGAACAACAAAGAAUAGUUUGUCUCGUUGCUCCUAGAUCCUGAUGCCUUUAGCAGUCUAGUUGAACUAUCCACAAACAUUUUUGGUGUAAGCUUGGAAAAACCUCACCUAACUUUAUACUCUGGUGUUUGGGGGUCUAUGUUAUGAAGUAGGACAUAUAUGUAGGACAGAAGUGUGAGAGGUGGCAGAAUUCACAGAGCCUAACUUUAGCCAAGACAGUCCAAGUCUCUCUCUGUCGUCAGUGAAAAUAGAAUGGUACUUCCUUCCAAGCAUCCAAGUUAGAAUAUUUAAAGAACCUGGAGGAGCCUCUAUAAAUAUUCCAUAGUUCCAUAGUGUCCAUAUUGUACAUUUCUUUUCUGAGAAGUUUAAUUUCUCACCUCCCUUUUUUUUUUGAGACCUUUGGCUAUAUGGGGGGGGAGAAGGGACACAUGACUGUUUGAAGAAAAUGUACUUCCGAAGAGAAUGCAUUGACUUUCAUUGGAGAAUCUGCCAAUAAAGAAAAAAAUGAUUCAAACA
RNAcentral lists this long non-coding RNA (1390 nucleotides) under Anas platyrhynchos platyrhynchos (common mallard). RNAcentral describes it as "lncRNA (ENSAPLG00000016964.1)". Lineage: Eukaryota; Metazoa; Chordata; Aves; Anseriformes; Anatidae. The record is from RNAcentral.